UAUUAUUGUGACCCGCCCUGGGACCUACUGGUGAAGUAGUAAUAGUAGUAAUAGUUAAGGGCAUGCUUGUUUCAUUUAUUUAGAUAUACUUAAGGCAAGAAAAGUAGGAUAUACAUUAUUAAAAUAAACUAAAAACUACUUAUCAGAAUAAGCUGUAUAGGUAGCCAUGGUAGCUGCUCUAAAGACCGCUGUGCUCCCUGUCCACCCUGGCAUGACAAGCAUUCAAGGAGAAACCUAAAGGAUCUCUGUAUAUUUGUUCCAGCAAGUGAAAAAAGCAGCUUGAUGAAGAUGGUUAUGAGCUGAAGAACACCAGAGGUGAAGGGGCUAAGUAGGUUUUUUUAAAAAAUCCUGAUUUGCAUGUGAUUUUGGCUCGGAUAAGGACCAGACCACAUGCAGCAUUGGAAGACACCCCUGCCCCCUUCUCUAGGACUGGUAGUGAAUACCUCUGUUCUUCACAAUUAAAAUUGCAUGUU
This is a long non-coding RNA of Rhineura floridana, 473 nucleotides long. RefSeq lists it as uncharacterized. The record is from RefSeq and is a predicted model, not a curated record. NCBI's taxonomy places the organism in Eukaryota, Metazoa, Chordata, Lepidosauria, Squamata, Rhineuridae. The transcript is spliced from 3 exons.